UGGGGAAUAUUGCACAAUGGGGGAAACCCUGAUGCAGCGACGCCGCGUGAACGAAGAAGGCAUUCGUAUCGUAAAGUUCUGUCCUAUGGGAAGAUAAUGACAGUACCAUAGAAGAAAGCUCCGGCUAAAUACGUGCCAGCAGCCGCGGUAAUACGUAUGGAGCGAGCGUUGUCCGGAAUUAUUGGGCGUAAAGGGUAUGCAGGCGGUUUAAUAAGUCGAAUGUUAAAGAUCGGGGCUCAACCCCGUAAAGCAUUGGAAACUGAUAAACUUGAGUGGUGGGGAGGAAAGUGGAAUUCCUAGUGUAGUGGUGAAAUACGUAGAUAUUAGGAGGAAGAGCAGUAGCGAAGGCGACUUUCUGGACACAAACUGACGAUGAGGUACGAAAGCGUGGGGAGCGAACAGG
RNAcentral lists this ribosomal RNA (403 nucleotides) under Bacteroidota bacterium. RNAcentral's name for it is "Bacteroidetes bacterium partial 16S ribosomal RNA". It matches the Rfam family "Bacterial small subunit ribosomal RNA", at positions 355 to 776 of the family's 1533-position model. Lineage: Bacteria; Pseudomonadati; Bacteroidota. The record is from RNAcentral.